GUUAUUAUUAACAAAUUGUGCAUCACGUGGAAUGCAUCAGGAGAUGGAAUAUACAAGCAACAGAACCUACCGGCGCCGUAAUAAGUCAGUGACUUCUUUCAGACUGAGAGCCAUGGCGUAACCAUAGUAACAGUCUGAUGUUUAGACAAGGCUGACGUCAUCUGUGGGGAUGGGAUUGACUCAGUGCAGAAUCACAGAAGAGAUCUUCAGGUGUAGAUGGAUCUGAGACAGUGUGGAGGUGAUCCCCAGAGGUGGAAUAGGCUUGGACCUCCCCCUGUCCAGGAGAGACAGACCGCCCCACAGGACUUACGUUGACCUCCACCCUAGGCUGGGCCUGUGGAGAGCCACCACGGCCCCCUGGUGCUCCUCUGUCCUCCUCUGUGGUGGUGGGGGCAGGACGACCUGUUACAAAAGCAGGGGGCCGUACACACUUCUAUCCAGGGGCUGCAGCUUGUGGGAGCAGUGAGGAGGGAAGGAGAGCAGCACGACGCCAUUGGCUUUGCAGUAGUCCAUGCCCUGGAGUGAGAGGUGAGAGGCUUGAUUAUCCAGAAGCAGCAGUUGUGGAGACUCUGGGGACGCCCUGGUGUACUUCACAAAAUGUUGCAAGAAGGCCAGGAAGUCAUUCUCCUGCAUCCAACCAGAACCACUAGCAGUGCCCAUGCAUCCUGUAGGCCCAUCACGUAGGAAGUGAUCAAGAUGUUGUUGGUCCGACCUGCUUCCUCCCUCUGUUGGCAAUGAUUUUGUUCGGCACUUGGACUGUUGUGGUGCUGGUCUCAUCCAUGUGCCACACAUCUUUGGCCUCAAAGUUGUGGCGGCCCAGAAUAGUAGAAAGGUUGUUGAAGAACUGAGACACGUUCGUUGCAUUGAAACUUGUCGCCCUCAACAGACUGGUGGCUUGAGGCUGGCGGAUGGAGAGGCCGGGGUGCCUUUUGAGGAAGGAGGUGAACCAGUCUUUCCCUGCCAUCUCCUUGGUAACCCAGGUCUCAGGGUACUUGCAGUGGUAGUGUUGGGCAAGCUGGUAUGCAAGUCUACGUACCUGAAAAGUAAAGGCAAUAUUAAUUAUGAACUGUCAUGAAUCUCUAUAUGAUCUUUUUAAAUCUUAUAGUUAGUCAUUUUUUUUAAUGCUAAUCAACCACCAGCACUAUUGUAAGCUUACCUCUUUAGGACUCAAUCCAAAGUAUAUUUCUGCAGCCCUCAACAGAUACUCUUUCAGAUGAUUCUCCUGCUCCUGACUAAACACUCUGUUGUGGGCUCUGUAUGCUGGCAGUCGGGCAUUGGCGCUAUCCUUUUUCCUCCGACAGUACCUAAACAGAGUAACAUGGCAUACGCCAUGUGCUUUCGCUGCACUCCUGACUGACUGGCCCCCUACCAGCACAUCUUGGGAGGCUCUCUCAAAUGUCUCUGGAUGAAACAGACCUCUGUCUGUGGUUCUGACCCUAACUCUGGGCAUGGGGAGUAUAUGAGUUUUUUUAUACGUGGUGCUGGCUUUAGUACCGGGUUUCCUUAAUGGUGAGUUGGGAUCCAAUGGUGGGCUUAUGUCAAAUCCUACUGGAUCGUUAAUUACGGCUGAGCUGUGACUGGAGACAUUGUCUUGAUUAUCUGGAGAGUCACUGGUAAUGUCAAGGUGGGUCACAGUGCCAAAAGGUUUGAGAUCCAAUUGUUUAGAGUCACGCUCUCUCUUCUCCAUAGUCUCAGUUUGGGGAAGACUUAAAAGUGAGUCCUCCUUACCGCAAUCACUUUUCACACAGGGAGGAGUGAAUAUGAACUCUAUGAUGUCAGCCUCCAGCCCUUGAAGCUGCCCUGCCUCCUGAGUGGUCCCGACUUCCUCCUCUUUAAUCUGCAUGGGCUCUGGGUCUCUUGUCCCCAGACUGGAGUUCCAUUUCUCCUGGUCACAUUGCUGCUGCACAGGGGUAACCUCCUCCUCGGAGACAGUAAGACACAAGGGGAGAGAGUGUAAUCUAUAUAGUUUUAUCUCCGGUCUGAUCCGCAGCAGUUUCCGUAGCCGGUCAUUCUCCUCUUUCGAUCGGGAAAUCUCCUCCUGGUACUCCGCUACGACUUUCUCUACUGCCCCCAUAAUCUCUACGGCAGCCAAUGUUAAACGCGUAUUAACAAACACACACAAAGACUGUAAUUUAGCCAUUUUUAGUGGACUGAAAGUUAGCUAUUCAGUUAGCUGCGUCUAAAAUACACACAGGGAAUGUGCAUAUUGCAAAAUAAAAACAAACCUCCCUCCAAUUCGACUUCCGUGUUGUCUUCUUCUUUUAUGUAUAUCAGCGGGUGUCAAGCCCCGAAACGGACAACAGCGCCGCAAGCUUGAUAGAGUUCUAAACUGGAAUAGAAUAACACAAUUAUUUUUUAUAGUGUGACAUGGCGAGUGGCAGUAGCUGAAUUUCCAUCCAGAUGCUCAUGCGAAUAUUCCAAAAUGAUAUGGUGUGUGGUCCUCCCACUACAAUUUGGGAAACCAUGCAGUUGAUUAGGCUACAGAUAAUAUAAGUUAUGAUGAACGUCACAGGGUAGUGAGUGUACGGUGAUCUUGAUUGCCUACUCCUUUACAAUAAAUAUUGAGGGUCUUAUUCUGGUGACAUGAUGAUCGAUGCUUGACUGCUGUUUGACAAAUAAAAAUCUAUAAUAAUCUCAUCAUGUAGACUAGCCUACCCGUACAGCCCAGCUGACCCUAGCUGGCAAUGGUUUGUUUGGGAUUUGCCUCUUGAUCUUUUUAGCAGCACAUUCACCACUCUGUCAAACGGCUAACUCCGCCCUCUCGCAGCACAGGCCAAGGGCCUGAGACAUACAAUGAACUACCCCAGCAUGGUCGGCUCUGAUGAAUGUGUUUGCCCGAUGCAAAAGGCCAUUUUUAAACCAUCUCGCGACCACUGCCUUGUCUAUAGACUUCCCCCAAACAAACAAAAACUGACUCUCGGAGAAUGAGUGCACAACUGGUAAAUAGUCCCUUAUAGAUAUGUCUGUCAGUCAGGUGGUUAUAGCUUCUAUUGCAGUAAUGUCAAAGGGCUCUGGCUAGUAUUACUUAGCCAGCUAGAAGGAUGAACCUAAUGUGAAAAGGUGCCUACCUCAACAGGAUAAAAAAAUACGCUACUAUAAUAGCUUUGCUUUACAGAGAGUAGGCUACUGAGAAAGACAGUGAUGUGGCGCUCAGUGGUGAGACUGAGGCAGGCUUCAAUGCAUGCAGGAGAAAGCAUUAUUUUUCUAUUUUAUUUUUUAUUUUUCUAUUUUCUCUGGCAAUGAACAGCUCUUUGUAGUGUCAUCAUGAAACUUUCAUUCCUAACCCCAGGAACAAAGGUUGUAUUAGACUACCUGUUAAGUUCACUUAGACCUUUCACACUACCCAUUGGGCUGUUGAGACUUAGAGAACGCUUCUGACAGCCGUCCUAUACCUUGUUAAGUCAUUUAUUGAUCUGUAAUAUUUUGCAUAGCUUUAUUAGAGCUUUAUUCCCUGUGUCAUACUAUUUUCUGUUCCCCCCACAGUGAGUUUUGGGGGGUUGGUGCACAACACAUUUCAGUGAUGUGACAGCUUUCUUCCUGAGCUCUCAGAUGACUCUGGGCCUCAUGGCAAUAGAAAGAUAUGUGUUUAUUUGCCACAGCAUCUACUACCUGAGCAUAAUAAUUUCCAGGCAUCUGCAGUUUGCCUUGGGGCUAAGCUGGGUUUUGAGUGUCAGUGUUGGUAGUGAUCAACCUGGGACAAGGUUCUGUUAACAAAGCCACUGCAGGACUGUUCUUGAACCUCGAAUUGUGGAAGGGUCUAUUUGUUUUAUUCCAGAGCAAAAUGUACUGUUCUUCGGCCCUCCCAGCCUCAUCUCGACUCUUUCAGUCAUCAUCAUCCGCUCCUGUUAUGGACACGUGUACAAGAAAGCACGCAGGGCUGCUGUGGUGAGCCAAGGUUACAUCUGAUGUGCCGGUAGCACUGUAGCCUUUUACCUCUGCAUGUUUCUACUACAGCUGCUGCCAUUCAUAUACUGUUGUAACGAUCGUUGUUUUCUUCAGAUGAGGGAUAGGAAGGAUCGGACCAAAACGCAGCGUGGUAAGUGGCCAUGUUAAUUUUAAUAAACAAACUGAACACUGCAAUAUCAAAAUAACAAAAGUGAAACAACGAAAAUCUAAACAGUUCUGACAGGUGAUACAAACACUAAACAGAAAAUAACUACCCACAAACACAGGUGGGAAGAGGCUACCUAAGUAUGGUUGUCAAUCAGAGACAACGAUAGACAGCUGCCUCUGAUUGGGAACCAUACCAGGCCAAACACAUAGAACUAGAAAACAUAGAACAAAAAACAUAGUAUGCCCACCCCAACUCACGCCCUGACCAAAUCAAAAUAGAGACAUAAAAAAGGAACUAAGGUCAGGACGUGACAACUGUCUAACCUCGACACUACUAAAUAAAAAAAUAAAAAUAAAAUAAAGUUGUAUUAGUCACAUGCGCCGAAUACAACAGCUGUAGACCUUACAGUGAAAUGCUUACCUACUAGCCCCUAACCAACAAUGCAGUAUAGAAGAAAAAAAAGGAAUUAGAAAUAAAAGAGAGAUUGAAGAGCAGCAGUAAAAUAACAAUAGUGAGACUAUAUACAGGGGGGUACCGGUACAGAGUCAAUGUACGGGGGCACCGUUUAGUCGAGGUAAUUGAGGUAAUAUGUACAGUUGAAGUCGGAAGUUUACAUACACUUAGGUUGGAGUCAUUAAAACUUGUUUUCAACCACUCAACAAAUUUCUUGUUAACAAACUAUAGUUUUGGCAAGUCGGUUAGGACAUCUACUUCGUGCAUGACAAGUAAUUUUUCCAACAAUUGUAUACAGACAGAUUAUUUCACAGAUUAUAAUUCACUGUAUCACAAUUCCAGUGGGUCAGAAGUUUACAUAUACUAAGUUGACUGUGCCUUUAAACAGCUUGGAAAAUUCCAGAAAAUGAUGUCAUGGCUUCAGAAGCUUCAGAUAGGCUAAUUGGCGUCACUGAAUCAAUUGGAAGUGUACCUGAGGAUAUAUUUCAAGGCCUACCUUCAAACUCAGUACCUCUUUGCUUGAAAUCAUGGGAAAAUCAAAAGAAAUCAGCCAAGACCUCAGAAAAAAAAAUUGUAGACCUCCACAAGUCUAGUUCAUCCUUGGGAGCAAUUUCCAAACACCUGACGGUACCAUGUUCAUCUGUACAAACAAUAGUACGCAGGUAUAAACACGUGUUCUGUCUCCUAGAGAUGAACGUACUUUGGUGCGAAAAGUGCAAAUCAAUCACAGAACAACAGCAAAGGACCUUGUGAAGAUGCUGGAGGAAACAGGUAUAAAAGUAUCUAUAUCCACAGUAAAACGAGUCCUAUAUUGACAUAACCUGAAAGGCCGGUCAGCAAGGAAGAAGCCACUGCUCCAAAACCGCCAUAAAAAAAGCCAGACUACGGUUUACAACUGCACAUGGGGACAAAGAUUGUACUUUUUGGAGAAAUGUCCUGUGGUCAGAUGAAACAAAAAUAGAACUGUUUGGCCAUAAUGACCAUCGUUAUGUUUGGAGGAAAAAGGGGGAGGCUUGCAAGCCGAAGAACACCAUCCCAACCGUGAAGCACGGGGGUGGCAGCAUCAUGUUGUGUGUGUGCUUUGCUGCAGGAGGGACUGGUGCACUUCACAAAUAGAUGGCAUCAUGAGGACGGAAAAUUAUGUGGCUAUAUUGAAGCAACAUCUCAAGACAUCAGUCAGGAAGAUAAAGCUUGGUCGCAAAUGGGUCUUCCAAAUGGACAAUGACCCCAAGCAUACUUCCAAAGUUGUGGCAAAAUGGCUUAAGGAUAACAAAGUCAAGGUAUCGGAGUGGCCAUCACAAAGCCCUGACUUUAAUCCUAUUGAGAAUUUGUGGGCAGAACUGAAAAAGUGUGUGCGAGCAAGGAGGCCUACUGACCUGACUCAGUUACACCAGCUCUGUCAGGAGGAUUGGGACAAAAUUAACCCAACUUAUUGUGGGAAGCUUGUGGAAGGCUACCCGAAACAUUUGACCCAAGUUAAACAAUUUAAAGACAAUGCUACCAAAUACUAAUUGAGUGUAUGUAAACUUAUGACCCACUGAGAAUGUGAUGAAAGAAAUAAAAGCUGAAAUAAAUCAUUCUCUCUACUAUUAUUCGGACAUUUCACAUUCUUAAAAUAAAGUGGUGAUCCUAACUGACCUAAGACAGGGAUUUUUUACUAGGAUGAAAUGUCAGGAAUUGUGAAAAACUGAGUUUAAAUGAAUUUGGCCAAGGUGUAUGUAAAUUUCCAACUUCAAAUGUAUGUGAUCCAACUGUUAAGUUGAAUGUUUUAUCAAAAUGUACACAUAUAAUGUCUGAGGGACAUAAAAGGCACUCUAGUUGUGCAUGGAACGACCCAUUGAGUGAAAUAUUUCUUUUUUUAAUGUGUUAUGAUAAUUACUUUUGUUCUGUUAAUUAAUGUGCUUGCUUCAGCAAGAACACUGCUGCACUAACCCAUGUUUAUUUUUUAUUUUUUAAAGCUCUAGCUCUUAAAAGGCCGUAUGCAGCCGUUUCUUUGCUAGGACUGUCUGGGAGUGGUGUGAGUGGAAGGGAUAUGUCAUCUCAAAACGAGCUGUUAUUGGCAGAGAUGUUUGGAACUCUCUUUGUAAGUGAGGGGAAUCGAUUAUCUGGGGUUGGUUACCCCGGUGUGAGGAGAUCACCAGGUUAAAAGUGAUUGCAUUCGUUUUGGAACCGGGCUGCCUCCCGGGCGUGAGACAGGUGCCCCAUUCUACGCCCACGGCGAAAUCGACUCAAAACAAAAGUGACGUAGCCUAGGCUAGAUUAAGAAUGUAGAGUAAUGAGUAGGAGUCUGUGAUUUCACAUGCAAAGUGAUUGCUCUUAUAAAAUGCUUUAUUUGCCUUCCCAAUAAAACUAGUUUGAAAAUUCAAACAUAUUUUAUGGAAAAGAUAUGUAUUUUUCUGGAUGAUGUUGACCGGAGCACCGCGGCUCAGGUUAAUAGAACUCCCUCAUUGAUCUGUAUUAACUUAUACCGCCUGGUGAUGUCACCAGGCACGCUAAACUCCACCAAUGCGAAACCUGCUGAUUAGAAGGUCCUAUGUAGAUUGUAUUUUCAUCCAGCAACUAUCAGGAAAUAACACUGAUUAAAUGUUUUCGUUUUUUUACAGUGGUAGUUUAAUCAGCUGUUGUACAAUAUGAUACAAAACACAGGAAAAAAAAUUAUUUUCCCUUCAUAUACUGAUUUCCACCAAUCACCAGUCAUCGCUACCAGUUUCCUGCAGGGGUGGGACUUCCUUCUCCAAAAGCCUUAAGUAGCCUCACCUGCUCCUAAUCAAGGUGGUUACGAAUUGGCUGGAAGCUUUUACAAAUUAAAUUGUCAUUUUUGAAGAAUGUGUUUAAAUGUGUAGUUUAGACCUAUGACCUUGAAGUUAUUGAUUUAAGUCCAUUUGUUCUUUCCUUUAUACGUAUGCAUUUGGUGUUGAACAUUUCCUUGUGUUUAUCAAUAUAUGUUCCUAUGUUUGUUCAUUCCAUGUGCUUUCCCAGCUGGGCUUAAGUUGUAAAACUCAAUCAUUUAUCCUUUGUUUAUGAUGGUUUGCCAUUUGCUUCAAUAACCUUGUUUGAUUUGAGGUAAUCUCAUUCAUACUUUAUACAGUCUUCAUGUUGAUACUAGUUUAUGUAGAUACUAUUUUAUACAGUCUUCAUUUUGAUACUAUUUUAAACAGUCUUCAUGUUGAUACUAAUUUAUACAGUCUUCAUGUUGAUACUAGUUAGUACAGUCUUAAUGUUGAUACUAGUUAGUGCAGUCUUAAUGUUGAUACUAGUUAAUACAGUUUUAAUGCUGAUACUAGUUAGUACAGUCUUAAUGUUGAUACUAGUUAGUACAGUCUUAAUGUUGAUACUAGUUUAUUGUCUUAAUGUUGAUACUAGUUAGUACAGUCUUAAUGUUGAUACUAGUUAGUACAGUCUUAAUGUUGAUACUAGUUAGUACAGUCUUAAUGUUGAUACUAGUUAGUUAGUAUGGUCUUCAUGUUGAUACUAGUUAGUACAGUCUUAAUGUUGAUACUAGUUAGUACAGUCUUAAUGUUGAUACUAGUUAGUACAGUCUUAAUGUUGAUACUAGUUAGUACAGUCUUAAUGUUGAUACUAGUUAGUACGGUCUUAAUGUUGAUACUAGUUAGUACAGUCUUAAUGUUGAUACUAGUUUAUUGUCUUAAUGUUGAUACUAGUUAGUACAGUCUUAAUGUUGAUACUAGUUAGUACAGACUUAAUGUUGAUACUAGUUAGUACGGUCUUCAUGUUGAUACUAGUUAGUACGGUUUUCAUGUUGAUACUAGUUAGUACAGUCUUAAUGUUGAUACUAGUUAGUACAGUCUUAAUGUUGAUACUAGUUAGUACAGUCUUAAUGUUGAUACUAGUUAGUACAGUCUUAAUGUUGAUACUAGUUAGUUAGUACGGUCUUCAUGUUGAUACUAGUUAGUACAGUCUUAAUGUUGAUACUAGUUUAUAGUCUUAAUGUUGAUACUAGUUCAUUGUCUUAAUGUUGAUACUAGUUUAUAGUCUUAAUGUUGAUACUAGUAUAUGCAGUCUUGAUAUUGAUACUAGUUCUUUCCUAUGUUGUUUAUUUGCAGAUGCCAUCCAAUGUCAUUUUAACCAUGACCUAAAUAAAAGGUCAACUGAGAACUGAAAAAGGUCUUGGUGUCCUUAGACACUCCACUGUGAAGAACUCCAUCCUAUGUCCUAAUACAGCAGACUGUGACACCUUUCUGGUUACACAGUGUGAAACAAAGGACUGCACAAAUUUGGAAAUCUUCUUUACAAGCCAGAAUGUUGAAUAAAAUUACAUUUUCACUUACUCUA
Salvelinus fontinalis (brook trout) is the source of this 8800-nucleotide long non-coding RNA. RefSeq lists it as uncharacterized. Lineage: Eukaryota; Metazoa; Chordata; Actinopteri; Salmoniformes; Salmonidae. The transcript is spliced from 4 exons. The record is from RefSeq and is a predicted model, not a curated record.